UAGGGAAUCUUCCGCAAUGGGCGAAAGGUUGACGGAGCAACGCCGCGUGAGUGAUGAAGGUCUUCGGAUCGUAAAACUCUGUUAUUAGGGAAGAACAAAUGUGUAAGUAACUAUGCACGUCUUGACGGUACCUAAUCAGAAAGCCACGGCUAACUACGUGCCAGCAGCCGCGGUAAUACGUAGGUGGCAAGCGUUAUCCGGAAUUAUUGGGCGUAAAGCGCGCGUAGGCGGUUUUUUAAGUCUGAUGUGAAAGCCCACGGCUCAACCGUGGAGGGUCAUUGGAAACUGGAAAACUUGAGUGCAGAAGAGGAAAGUGGAAUUCCAUGUGUAGCGGUGAAAUGCGCAGAGAUAUGGAGGAACACCAGUGGCGAAGGCGACUUUCUGGUCUGUAACUGACGCUGAUGUGCGAAAGCGUGGGGAUCAAACAGG
This 429-nucleotide ribosomal RNA is filed under the name Actinomycetes bacterium. RNAcentral's name for it is "Actinobacteria bacterium partial 16S ribosomal RNA". It matches the Rfam family "Bacterial small subunit ribosomal RNA", at positions 355 to 776 of the family's 1533-position model. The record is from RNAcentral. Lineage: Bacteria; Bacillati; Actinomycetota; Actinomycetes.